RNAcentral lists this long non-coding RNA (538 nucleotides) under Homo sapiens (human). Its description in RNAcentral is "non-protein coding lnc-SERPINI1-23:16". Lineage: Eukaryota; Metazoa; Chordata; Mammalia; Primates; Hominidae. The record is from RNAcentral.
UAGUCAAGAGAUUUGUCCAUCUAAUUCAUCAUACUACUCUGAUCCAAGUGAGACCCACACUGGGUCAGCUCCAUCAAGGAGAAGAACAUUCCACCCACGUUUGGAUUCUGGAAUAUCAUCCUUGCUUCCAUCAGAUUCUUGUAAGUACCUCACUUGGCACAAGGUAGACAUGACGUUCAAGGAAGUCAACUGCGUUGCCCAAGAGUAAGAGAAGGAAUCUCUGAAGAAGAGCAACUUUUCAGACAGGUAGAGUGUGCCUUGCUCCCAAGGAAAAGAGUUCUUGAAAAAAACAAAUGGGAAACAUGGCUACAAGAAAACUGGGAAGACUGCAAGAAAAUCUCAGAAUCUGCUUGAGAAUCCGGUCCUUCUUCCUCCAUACACCCAUGGAACACUCCCAAACUCUGUAUGCUGCUCACUAAUUCUGAUUAAGGUCUUCACCCUCCCUACCUUGGAAAUUGCUACAACAUAAUUGUGUUUGUAUGUAUAAUUAAUAUAUACAAUACAUUUUAAAUGAAUAACUAAAGUUGACAAAAACCUC